This 77-nucleotide transfer RNA is filed under the name Clostridia bacterium. RNAcentral describes it as "tRNA-Arg". It matches the Rfam family "tRNA". From Rfam's summary of the family: Transfer RNA (tRNA) molecules are approximately 80 nucleotides in length. Their secondary structure includes four short double-helical elements and three loops (D, anti-codon, and T loops). The record is from RNAcentral. Lineage: Bacteria; Bacillati; Bacillota; Clostridia.
GCGUUGCUAGCUCAGCUGGAUAGAGCGUUCGUCUACGGAACGAAAGGUCAGGGGUUCGAAUCCCUUGCGACGCACCA